This 255-nucleotide ribosomal RNA is filed under the name uncultured Scutellospora. RNAcentral describes it as "partial 18S ribosomal RNA". It matches the Rfam family "Eukaryotic small subunit ribosomal RNA", at positions 624 to 885 of the family's 1831-position model. The record is from RNAcentral. Lineage: Eukaryota; Fungi; Glomeromycota; Glomeromycetes; Diversisporales; Gigasporaceae.
AAGCUCGUAGUUGAAUUUCGGGUUCUACCGUUGGUCGGGCUAACCAGUCUGUACUAGCGUGUAGAAUUCCUACCUUCUGGGGAACCAUCAUGUUAUUAAUUUAGCGUGGUGGGAAACCAGGACCUUUACCUUGAAAAAAUUAGAGUGUUCAAAGCAGGCUUACGUCUGAAUACAUUAGCAUGGAAUAAUAAAAUAGGACGGUGGUCCUGUUUUGUUGGUUUCUGAAUCACCGUAAUGAUUAAAGGGAUAGUUGGG